This 258-nucleotide long non-coding RNA is filed under the name Elaeis guineensis (African oil palm). RNAcentral describes it as "long non-coding RNA (EGUI_LNC028945)". Lineage: Eukaryota; Viridiplantae; Streptophyta; Magnoliopsida; Arecales; Arecaceae. The record is from RNAcentral.
GCCUAUAAUAUCCUUGGGGAAACUAAAAACAAGGUAGCAUUAAUACGAUCCAUUCCCCAGCCAUAGGACAUCUACUAGUGCCAAAUGGAACCUGUGGAAGUUUUAGUUAAUUCAAUGAGUAGAGCUAUUUGAAUAAGUUUAUGACGUGCUCUCUCUUACUUACCCAUGUGGAACACCAAACAACAUUCUGCAUGGAUCUGAGCAUGACAAGUAGGAUAUGUUGAGUAUGGCCUAUACAAAGAAUGGAAAGAUGCCCAC